This 423-nucleotide ribosomal RNA is filed under the name uncultured bacterium. RNAcentral describes it as "bacterial SSU rRNA". It matches the Rfam family "Bacterial small subunit ribosomal RNA", at positions 207 to 622 of the family's 1533-position model. The record is from RNAcentral.
AAGACCUUGCGCUUUUGGAGCGGCCGAUGUCUGAUUAGCUUGUUGGUGAGGUAAAAGCUUACCAAGGCUUCGAUCAGUAGCUGGUCUGAGAGGACGGCCAGCCACACUGGGACUGAGACACGGCCCAGACUCCUACGGGAGGCAGCAGUGGGGAAUUUUGGACAAUGGGGGKAACCCUGAUCCAGCCAUGCCGCGUGAGUGAAGAAGGCCUUCGGGUUGUAAAGCUCUUUCAGCCGGAACGAAACGGUUACGGUUAAUACCCGUGAUUACUGACGGUACCGGAAGAAGAAGCACCGGCUAACUACGUGCCAGCAGCCGCGGUAAUACGUAGGGUGCGAGCGUUAAUCGGAAUUACUGGGCGUAAAGCGUGCGCAGGUGGUUUUGUAAGUCAGAUGUGAAAGCCCCGGGCUCAACCUGGGAACU